GAAUAUAGACCUAAAUAAAUUAAAAAAUCAUGAGACAACCAUAAACUAAGGAAAAUGUUACAUAAAAAUAAAAUAUUAAAGUAAUACCAUACUUGCUAUAACCCUCCCAAAAAAACGGCCUUUUCUGAAAUCCUUCAUCAUCCUUGCAAGUUUCACACGGAAAACCCUGCAGCUAAUAUCAGGUCUGUAAGGUGCAUAAUUUCCAGUCUUUGCAAGAUGACGAUGUAUUUCCUCCCAUUUCGGAUUGCAAGUAACAGUAAGAAAUAAAUCAGGAUAACCGUAACUUUUGCAAAUAG
Molecule: long non-coding RNA, 296 nt
Filed under: Trifolium pratense (red clover)
Lineage: Eukaryota; Viridiplantae; Streptophyta; Magnoliopsida; Fabales; Fabaceae
Description: long non-coding RNA (TPRA_LNC003252)
Source: RNAcentral